This 883-nucleotide long non-coding RNA is filed under the name Solanum lycopersicum (tomato). RNAcentral's name for it is "partial TCONS_00065367". The record is from RNAcentral. Lineage: Eukaryota; Viridiplantae; Streptophyta; Magnoliopsida; Solanales; Solanaceae.
AUUUCCAGAAGACUUGUUUCAUCCAAACUUAAAUUUUUCAAUUUCAUAACUUAACUUCAUCGAUACCGUGUGUUCAAAAUUUUCAGUAAGUAGCUUGUGCCAUAGGCAUACAAAGCGAGGUAAGUUUUUUCUCCUAUAUGGUUCAAAAUUCACAUCUACAAAUGUUCAUAUGCUAUUAUUAAAAUAAGUUUCAAGCUUUUUCUUUAUAGAUGUUUGAACUUAUUGGACCAUGACUUGCAGAGGUUGUAUCUGCUAGCUCAAGCUAACAUAUUUCGCCAAAGUAGAUAACAUCAAUUUUCCGAGUUGGGAUUUCAAAUACUGCUUUUCAAAUCUCAAGAAUGUUAAAAUUAUCGGCUGCCUUUAUGACAUGGUUGGAGGCGUGGUCUGAAGCAGAGUUUUGUAAGCUUUUCGAACCUUUGAGGUUUAUAUUAAAGAAUACAGUGGUUUUGCAAAAGUUUGUUAUCAUAACAAUUAAACAAGUGUGAGUUCCGGCAUUCAUAACGAUUGACUAAGAAAUUGUUAGAUAGUCAAAAAUCAUCAACAAAUUUCGUGAUUGUUUAUCAAGAGAUUGCUUAGCCAACCAUUAUAAAUAAUCACGAAAUUUGUCCUAGUGUUUCUGGCCGCUGCAACAAAUACAUAUUUAUUAACAAAAUAUAAGGUGUAUCUAGCGAUUCAGAGUUGUUUUUUGUAGUAGUGUUCUUAUUAGGAUCAUUGUGUAUGAACUACAACUGAAUUAGAGUUGAGUUUUGAUAAGAAAAGUUGGAAGCUGUGGGCAUGCUAAUUGAAAAACCGCAAGUAUCGACUAUCGUGAAACAAGCACUUGAUAGUUGAUCCUGAUCUUGUGGGGUUGGUCUUAAAUAUCUCAGGGUACUUAGGCUAUAAU